UGCGGCGGAUUAGGUAGUUGGUGGGGUAACGGCCUACCAAGCCGAUGAUCCGUAGGGGGCGUGAGAGCGUGGCCCCCCACACUGGCACUGAGACACGGGCCAGACUCCUACGGGAGGCAGCAGUGAGGAAUAUUGCACAAUGGGCGCAAGCCUGAUGCAGCAACGCCGCGUGAGGGACGAAGGCCUUCGGGUUGUAAACCUCUUUUCUGAGGGACGAGGAAGGACGGUACCUCAGGAAUAAGUCUCGGCUAACUACGUGCCAGCAGCCGCGGUAAAACGUAGGGGGCGAGCGUUAUCCGGAUUUACUGGGCGUAAAGCGCGCGCAGGUGGCUUCGUGAGUCGGACAUGAAAGCUCCUGGCUUAACUGGGAGAGGCUGUUCGAUACUGCGGGGCUUGAGGUUGGGAGAGGGACGCGGAAUUCCCGGUGUAGUGGUGGAAUGCGUAGAUAUCGGGAGGAACACCAGUGGCGCAAGCGGCGUCCUGGCCCACACCUGACGCUGAGGUGCGAAAGCGUGGGUAGCAAACAGGAUUAGAUACCCUGGUAGUCCACGCUGUAAACGAUGUCAACUGGGUGUCGGUAGUUUUACACUAUCGGUGCCGAAGCUAACGCG
This 611-nucleotide ribosomal RNA is filed under the name uncultured bacterium. RNAcentral describes it as "bacterial SSU rRNA". It matches the Rfam family "Bacterial small subunit ribosomal RNA", at positions 232 to 859 of the family's 1533-position model. The record is from RNAcentral.